Molecule: long non-coding RNA, 362 nt
Organism: Myotis davidii
Lineage: Eukaryota; Metazoa; Chordata; Mammalia; Chiroptera; Vespertilionidae
Exons: 3
Source: RefSeq, a predicted model, not a curated record
GGCGCAUGUUGCAUUUCUGUUCGACAGUGCCGGUCUCCUUCAUGGGCACUCGGGGAAGACGUUCUCACCAGCAUCCCAGAGGAGUCUGAGGCAAGUCCUUCACUCGCACUAUGAGGAGAAGACUGACGAAUAUUUUAGGAAACCAGGCCUAGGAGGCCGAGAGCCUGGACUAGAUGGAUGCCGGAGUUUGGGUAAGGAGGUACAUCAGAGCAAGACCCCGAAACUGAAACGAGAGAUAAAGUUGGCCUUUUCAAGUGCUGGAACAGUGCUCUGGUAACCUGCCCUGUGUUUGCGGCUCUUUAAACGACACAGUAGUCACGCCAUGUUUCUCUGGCUGCAGAGGUUAAAAAGUUUUUGCCUAA